CUACGGGGGGCUCCAGUGGGGAAUAUUGGACAAUGGGCGUAAGCCUGAUCCAGCAAUGCCGCGUGAGUGAAGACGGCCUUAGGGUUGUAAAACUCUUUCGCUAGGGAAGAUAAUGACUGUACCUAGUAAAGAAGUCCCGGCUAACUCCGUGCCAGCAGCCGCGGUAAUACGGAGGGGACUAGCGUUGUUCGGAAUUACUGGGCGUAAAGAGUUCGUAGGCGGACUGACAAGUUAGAGGUGAAAUCCCAGGGCUCAACCCUGGAACUGCCUUUAAAACUGUCAGUCUAGAGACCGGAAGAGGUUAGGGGAAUACCUAGUGUAGAGGUGAAAUUCGUAGAUAUUAGGUGGAACACCAGUGGCGAAGGCGCCUAACUGGUCCGGUACUGACGCUGAGGAACGAAAGCGUGGGGAGCAAACAGGAUUAGAUACCCUUGUAGUC
Molecule: ribosomal RNA, 439 nt
Filed under: uncultured bacterium
Lineage: Bacteria
Description: partial 16S ribosomal RNA
Rfam family: Bacterial small subunit ribosomal RNA
Source: RNAcentral